Molecule: ribosomal RNA, 821 nt
Filed under: uncultured bacterium
Lineage: Bacteria
Description: bacterial SSU rRNA
Rfam family: Bacterial small subunit ribosomal RNA
Source: RNAcentral
AGAGUUUGAUCCUGGCUCAGGACGAACGCUGGCGGCGUGCUUAACACAUGCAAGUCGAACGGAAAGGCCCUGCUUUUGUGGGGUGCUCGAGUGGCGAACGGGUGAGUAACACGUGAGUAACCUGCCCUUGACUUUGGGAUGACUUCAGGAAACUGGGGCUAAUACCGGAUAGGAGCUCCUGCUGCAUGGUGGGGGUUGGAAAGUUUCGGCGGUUGGGGAUGGACUCGCGGCUUAUCAGCUUGUUGGUGGGGUAGUGGCUUACCAAGGCUUUGACGGGUAGCCGGCCUGAGAGGGUGACCGGCCACAUUGGGACUGAGAUACGGCCCAGACUCCUACGGGAGGCAGCAGUGGGGAAUAUUGCACAAUGGGCGGAAGCCUGAUGCAGCAACGCCGCGUGCGGGAUGACGGCCUUCGGGUUGUAAACCGCUUUCGCCUGUGACGAAGCGUGAGUGACGGUAAUGGGUAAAGAAGCACCGGCUAACUACGUGCCAGCAGCCGCGGUGAUACGUAGGGUGCGAGCGUUGUCCGGAUUUAUUGGGCGUAAAGGGCUCGUAGGUGGUUGAUCGCGUCGGAAGUGUAAUCUUGGGGCUUAACCCUGAGCGUGCUUUCGAUACGGGUUGACUUGAGGAAGGUAGGGGAGAAUGGAAUUCCUGGUGGAGCGGUGGAAUGCGCAGAUAUCAGGAGGAACACCAGUGGCGAAGGCGGUUCUCUGGGCCUUUCCUGACGCUGAGGAGCGAAAGCGUGGGGAGCGAACAGGCUUAGAUACCCUGGUAGUCCACGCUGUAAACGGUGGGUACUAGGUGUGGGGUCCAUUCCACGGG